Molecule: ribosomal RNA, 2900 nt
Filed under: Adhaeribacter rhizoryzae
Lineage: Bacteria; Pseudomonadati; Bacteroidota; Cytophagia; Cytophagales; Hymenobacteraceae
Description: Adhaeribacter sp. DK36 23S ribosomal RNA
Rfam family: Bacterial large subunit ribosomal RNA
Source: RNAcentral
AAGAAAGUUAGUAAGGGCGUAUGGGGGAUGCCUAGGCUCUCAAAGGCGAGGAAGGACGUGAUAAGCUGCGAUAAGCUGCGGGGAUUGGCACAUACGAAUUAAUCCGCAGAUUUCCGAAUGGGGCAACCCACUUGAGUGAAGCUCAAGUAUCCUGUAAAGGAGGCAAACCCGGGGAACUGAAACAUCUAAGUACCCGGAGGAAGAGAAAAUAAGAAUGAUUCCCUAAGUAGUGGCGAGCGAACGGGGAAGAGCCCAAACCAGUUUUGUUACGGCAAAGCUGGGGUUGUAGGACCACGUGAUGAGACUAAAAAAUGAAGCUAAACUACCUGGGAAGGUAGGCCAGAGAAGGUGAUAGCCCUGUCAGCGUAAGCUUUUUAGCUCUAGUGGUAUCCUGAGUAGGGCGGAACCAGAGAAAUUCCGUCUGAAUCUGCCGGUACCAUCCGGUAAGGCUAAAUACUUUUGAGAGACCGAUAGUGAACCAGUACCGUGAGGGAAAGGUGAAAAGAACCUUGCAUAAAGGAGUGCAAUAGAACCUGAAACCAUACGCUUACAAGCGGUCGGAGGUCCUAAGUGGAUUGACGGCGUGCCUUUUGCAUAAUGAGCCUACGAGUUACGCCUCUCUGGCAAGGUUAAGAGUUUUAAAGCUCGGAGCCGCAGCGAAAGCGAGUCUGAACAGGGCGCAUAGUCAGAGGGGGUAGACGCGAAACUUUGUGAUCUACCCUUGACCAGGUUGAAGUGUGGGUAACACCACAUGGAGGACCGAACCAGUUUCCGUUGAAAAGGAUUUGGAUGAGUUGAGGGUAGGGGUGAAAGGCCAAUCAAACUGAGAAAUAGCUCGUACUCCCCGAAAUGUUUUUAGGAACAGCGUCGUGGUGGAGUUUUAUAGAGGUAGAGCUACCGAUAGGACUAGGGGGAGUCACAUCCUACCGAAUCCUGACGAACUCCGAAUGCUAUAAAAUAUACACGGCAGUGAGGCUCUGGGUGCUAAGGUCCAGGGCCGAGAGGGAAAGAACCCAGACCAUCAGCUAAGGUCCCUAAAUAUAUGCUAAGUUGAACAAAGGAGGUUCAGUUACUUUGACAGCCAGGAUGUUGGCUUGGAAGCAGCCAUUCAUUUAAAGAGUGCGUAACAGCUCACUGGUCGAGUGACAGGGCAUCGAUAAUAAUCGGGCAUCAAGCAUAUUACCGAAGCUAUGGAUAGAAUUUAUUCUGUGGUAGGGGAGCAUUCUUAUUACGAAGAAGGUGUCUGGUAAUGGAUGCUGGAGUGAUAAGAAAAGCAAAUGUAGGCAUAAGUAACGAUAAGGCAGGUGAGAAACCUGCCCGCCGCAAGACUAAGGUUUCCUGAACAACGCUAAUCGGUUCAGGGUUAGUCGGGUCCUAAGGCAACACCGAAAGGUUAAGUCGAUGGCUAACGGGUUAAUAAUCCCGUACUUGUUUUAUCUAGUGAUGUGGUGACGGAGGAGUGAAAGACCUGCGUACUGACGGAAUAGUACGUUGAAGCCCGUAGUUAUAUUUCUGGUAGGCAAAUCCGCCGGAGAUGAUGAAAGGUGAUAGUACCCAGCGGCUUCGGCCAACGGGAUAAUGGUCCUAAUCCGACUUCCAAGAAAACCCGCUAAACGUUUAAAGAUAAGACAACCCGUACCGCAAACCGACACAGGUAGUCGAGGAGAGCAUCCUCAGGCGCUCGAGUGAAUCACGGCCAAGGAACUCGGCAAAAUGGCCCUGUAACUUCGGGAGAAGGGGCGCUUCCUCUUAGCAAUAAGAGAAGCCGCAGUGAAAAGGCCCAGGCGACUGUUUAACAAAAACACAUGACUUUGCGAAAUCGAAAGAUGAAGUAUAAGGUCUGACACCUGCCCGGUGCUGGAAGGUUAAGAGGGGAUGUUAGUCGCAAGGCGAAGCAUUGAAUCGAAGCCCCAGUAAACGGCGGCCGUAACUAUAACGGUCCUAAGGUAGCGAAAUUCCUUGUCGGGUAAGUUCCGACCUGCACGAAUGGUGUAACGAUCUGGGCGCUGUCUCAGCCGUGAGCUCGGUGAAAUUGUAGUCUCGGUGAAGAUGCCGAGUACCCGCAACGGGACGGAAAGACCCCGUGCACCUUUACUAUAGCUUAACAUUGACGCUGGGUAACUCAUGUGUAGGAUAGGCCGGAGGCUAUGAAGCGGUGUCGCUAGGCAUCGUGGAGCCAACGUUGAAAUACGGCCCUUGAGUUGCUUGGCGCCUAAUCUGGAAAACGGAGACAGUGUUUGGUGGGUAGUUUGACUGGGGUGGUCGCCUCCAAAAGAGUAACGGAGGCUUUCAAAGGUACCCUCAGCACGCUUGGUAACCGUGCGUAGAGUGCAAUAGCAGAAGGGUGCUUGACUGUGAGGCCGACAAGCCGAGCAGGGUCGAAAGACGGAUAUAGUGAUCCGGUGGUUCCGCAUGGAAGGGCCAUCGCUCAAAGGAUAAAAGGUACGCCGGGGAUAACAGGCUGAUCUCCCCCAAGAGCUCAUAUCGACGGGGAGGUUUGGCACCUCGAUGUCGGCUCGUCACGUCCUGGGGCUGGAGAAGGUCCCAAGGGUUCGGCUGUUCGCCGAUUAAAGUGGCACGCGAGCUGGGUUCAGAACGUCGUGAGACAGUUCGGUCCCUAUCUGUUGUGGGCGUAAGAAAUUUGACAGGACCUGACCUUAGUACGAGAGGACCGGGUUGGACAAGCCGCUAGUGGACCUGUUGUGACGCCAGUUGCAGCGCAGGGUAGCUACGCUUGGAAGAGAUAAGCGCUGAAAGCAUCUAAGUGCGAAACUCACCUGAAGAUGAGAUUUCUUUGAAGGGUCGUUAAAGAUGAUAACGUUGAUAGGCGGCAGGUGUAAAGGUAGAAAUACCAUAGCUGAGCCGUACUAAUUACCCGUAAACUUUCCUGAUAACCUUAG